This 388-nucleotide ribosomal RNA is filed under the name uncultured microorganism. RNAcentral describes it as "bacterial SSU rRNA". It matches the Rfam family "Archaeal small subunit ribosomal RNA", at positions 330 to 719 of the family's 1478-position model. The record is from RNAcentral.
GUGCACCAGGCGAGAAAACUUCACACUGUGCGAAAGCACGAUGAGGGAAUCCCAAGUGCUUGCACGUAAGUGUAAGCUGUUUCUCUGUCUAAAACGCAGAGAGAGUAAGGGCUGGGUAAGACGGGUGCCAGCCGCCGCGGUAAUACCUGCAGCUCAAGUGGUGACCGUUAUUAUUGGGCCUAAAACGUCCGUAGCCGGUUUAAUAAAUGCCUGGGUAAAUUGUGUAGCUUAACUAUACGAAUUCCGGGUAGACUGUUAAACUUGAGACCGGGAGAAGUUAGAGGUACUCCUGGGGUAGAGGUGAAAUUCUGUAAUCCUAGGGGGACCACCAGUGGCGAAGGCGUCUAACUAGAACGGGUCUGACGGUGAGGGACGAAGCCCUGGGGCG